GAUGAAGUACAUAUCUGUGAAAUUUAGAUAGAUUGUUUUUUGGAUUAUGUUCAGUAUGCAUUUCACUUGUAGUUUGUUUCAAUUUGCUUGUCUUAACCUUGUGGCUUUUAGUUUUGCUUAUAUGGUUUUCUCUAAGAUUGAUAGAGUUAGGAACAAUUAUGAAUAGAAAAGAAACAAAUAAGCUAGUCUAGUUGGAGGAAAUAACUCUGUAAUAUAUUGAUAAUGGCAGAAGACAAUACAAUCAGUAUCUCAAUUACAAACCAAAUCACUCCCUCUCUUCUUCUGGUAACAACAAAGAAAAACCCUAAAAGAAAUAACAUGGGACUCCAGGAGAAACCUCCUGAGCUAGCAGAGCUAGCCUCCCACUAAUAGCUGCCAAUUAACAUAAA
Molecule: unclassified non-coding RNA, 389 nt
Filed under: Hevea brasiliensis (rubber tree)
Lineage: Eukaryota; Viridiplantae; Streptophyta; Magnoliopsida; Malpighiales; Euphorbiaceae
Source: RNAcentral